UCAGUGAUGAGGAUUCUGACCUUGACUUUGAUAUCAGCAAAUUGGAACAGCAGAGCAAGUCAGGUAAAAGUUCCAGAAAUGUGAACAACAAAGAUUUUUUUGAUCCAGUUGAAAGUGAUGAAGACAUAGCAAGUGAUCAUGAUGAUGAGCUGGGUUCAAACAAGAUGAUGAAAUUGCUGAAGAAGAAGCAGAAGAAGGAAGCAUUUCUGAAAUAGUUUUGGUAGUGUAGGGAUGAAGGUGAUCACCUGGAAGAAAGAGAAGACAGUAAACAAUGUAAAGAAAGCUUGAAAAGAGUGACUUUUGCUUUGCCGGAUGAUGAGGCAACUGAAGAUGCAGGUGUUUUAAAUGUAAAGAAAAAUUCUGAUGAAGUUAAUCUUCUUUUGAAAAAAGACAGGAAAAGAUGAAUGAAAAAAAUUACAUCUUUAGAAAAAGAGUUAUUAGAAAAAAGCCUUGGCAGCGUCGGGGGGAAGUGACAGCACAGAAGAGACCAGAGAAUAGCUUCCUGGAGGAGACCCUGCACUUUAACCAUGCUGUCUGGAUGGGUACAGUGCCCUCUUCUGCAAAGAGUUCACUUCUAUGCUUUUUCUGUGGUUCCAUUUCAUAGAAAGAUUUGGGGCGAUGUUUCUUUUCCCUUAACUUUUUAUUUUAAAAACUUGCAAACACAGAAAAGUUGAUAAAAUCAUACAGUGAACAUCUGUAUUCUAUUCAACUGGAUUCACUAGUUCACAUUUUGUCAUAUUUGUGUUCUCUUUUCCCCAUAUGGAAGAUUGUAUAUUUGCCCUUUUUCCCCCUGAAUCAUUUCAAAGUAAGUUGCCAGUAUCAUAGCAUUUCACUGUUAAGUACUUUUGCAGAUAUCUCCUAAGAACCAGGAUAUUCUCCUAUAUAAUCACAAUACCAUUAAUCCACCCAAAACAUUUAACAUCAGUACACUAAUGAUACCUACUGUAUAGAUUAUAAUCAGCUUCCUUGCAGUAAUCUGUUUAGAAGACUUGCAUCCUGUCACUGUCCACUGAUUAAAUUUUGAACUCUUAACU
Molecule: long non-coding RNA, 1034 nt
Organism: Homo sapiens (human)
Lineage: Eukaryota; Metazoa; Chordata; Mammalia; Primates; Hominidae
Gene: MPHOSPH10P1
Product: MPHOSPH10 pseudogene 1
Source: Ensembl